AGAGAUUUUUUGCCCACGUCUCAUGUUUCUGAGCAUGCUCCCUAGUGUCUUGGCCAGAGCCUUCAGUAUAGCUUUUUGCCGAGUCAGGCUGUUGGUUUUCUUAUCCCAAAUCCCUAACGGGUGGUUUUAAGUACUCCAAGCAUUUUUCAAAGACAGCUUGAAACCCAGCCAAGCCCACAGUGGGGGAGGGAGGGGUAGAGGUGGGUGUGUAACUCUUCUCUGACAGGUCUGCAGUUGGUCUGAUUGUCUCCCAGGUCAGGCGAACUCGUCUGCAAGCUGCAGCUGCCACCCCAGGGGACAACCCCCCCAUUCCCAAAAUCAAGUGAACUUUGUGAUUUUUUUAGCAGCAGUAAAUGAUCCCACUGGGGGUUAUUUGACCACCAAAACUACGCUAGCUUGGCUGAAGGGUUGAAGUACAGAGGCCCACGUCAAUAUGGAUUUACAGAUACCAACGGAUGCAGGAUCGGGACCCCUCCCCAGCUCCAGACCCCCCCCACCUGUUCUCACCUGCUGCUUGGAAAUCACCCCUUCUCCAGGUCCUGUGUUUACACGUCUGUCCAUGACACAAUAAAACAGAGGGAAGGCAAAUGUGCAAUGUAGAGAUCCAUUAUGCUUUAUUUACAUGCGUCACCAUCUCUUUUACAAACUAGAUUACAAUUUAAAAUGGAAUACACAAGGCAAUAUCUACUAACACCAAGUGGAGUAAGUACAUGGCUUGAAACAGAAACAGAUAAAACAGUUUUACAGAUACUGUAUACAUAUUUUUUCCAAUCAUGCAACUUUUUAAAAAAAAAGUUAAACAUGUGAAGCCAAAUGUACAAUCCAUUUUUUCCAACCCAUAGUAACGAAAUGUAUCUGGUCCCCCUGUGCAUCUGUUGGCAAUUCUAGAAGCGUACUAGAAACACUUACAGGACACCGAUUGCCAAGCAAUGACAUAAUUUUAGAGAAAUACAUAACCUAAAAGGUAACUUUUUUAAGCGGUGGCACAACAAUUUCUAGAGUUAAACAGUGUUUAACGAUCCCAUUAUUCUCAAGAGAAUUUUUUUUUACAAAAUCAUUAAAUCAAGCCCCAAUCUGUGACUAGAAACUGCAUAAAUAACAGCUUUUUAGACCUUUUGUUUAGACCAAGUGUUCAAAUGAUAACCACGUAAUUGUGACCAUGACUUUUAUCUGUUUUACAUGAUUUCACAAUGAAAACUUCUAGGCAUAAACAUGUUCAAAGACUCAAAGGCCAAAUUUUUAGGUUCCCAGAAUUAGCUGUUCAAGUCUGUAUUUUGACACGUAAGUAAGUGGCCCUUUGAAUUCAGUGAGAUUCAUUUAGCACCUCUGGAGUGAAGGACCUUUGCUGGGCACCUCAGCAGGUGUAGAGGAGGAUGACUUUCCCCUGGGCCUGGGGGGACCUGUCACUUCCCCUUCCUUCAAGAAGUGAUGAGGGCAGAGCAGCUCAACCUCUGUGACCACACUGGAGUCCCCAGUGUUCAGUGCCUGACACCAGGCACUUUCACUCGAAAAUUUUGGCCCCAAAAAUGAGCAACAGAAACCAAACCAAGGCCAAGUCCAACCCUCUUCGGCAAGUGCUGGGAUGUUCUCCAAAGCAGAGGCUCAAGGUGUUCCAGCCACACCAAUGGAAAUGCUCUCCUUGACACUGCUGGGAGGCAGGUUAAGCCUUUCAGCUGCUAAUGAUUUGUUACUUUUUUAAAAAAACUUCUCUGCCAUUGAUGGGCUGUCUCUAAAUCAGGUGUUAUUUCUCCAUUUUCUGAACAGAGCAGGCCAUAGUUUUCUCUCUCAUUUCUGACAGCAGGAGCCA
This 1807-nucleotide long non-coding RNA is filed under the name Manacus vitellinus (golden-collared manakin). RNAcentral describes it as "lncRNA (ENSMVIG00005018254.1)". Lineage: Eukaryota; Metazoa; Chordata; Aves; Passeriformes; Pipridae. The record is from RNAcentral.